RNAcentral lists this ribosomal RNA (400 nucleotides) under uncultured Alphaproteobacteria bacterium. RNAcentral's name for it is "bacterial SSU rRNA". It matches the Rfam family "Bacterial small subunit ribosomal RNA", at positions 9 to 438 of the family's 1533-position model. The record is from RNAcentral. Lineage: Bacteria; Pseudomonadati; Pseudomonadota; Alphaproteobacteria.
GAGUUUGAUCGUGGCUCAGAACGAACGCUGGCGGCAUGCCUAACACAUGCAAGUCGAACGAAGGCUUCGGCCUUAGUGGCGCACGGGUGCGUAACGCGUGGGAAUCUGCCCUUUGCUUCGGAAUAACACAGAGAAAUUUGUGCUAAUACCGGAUGAUGUCGCAAGACCAAAGAUUUAUCGGCAAAGGAUGAGCCCGCGUAGGAUUAGCUAGUUGGUGGGGUAAAGGCCUACCAAGGCGACGAUCCUUAGCUGGUCUGAGAGGAUGAUCAGCCACACUGGGACUGAGACACGGCCCAGACUCCUACGGAGGCAGCAGUGGGGAAUAUUGGACAAUGGGCGAAAGCCUGAUCCAGCAAUGCCGCGUGAGUGAUGAAGGCCUUAGGGUUGUAAAGCUCUUUUA